AAGAAAUGAACAGCUUGGAGAUAGAAUUUCUAUUCAAUUUGGACUUCAAACUUCAUGUCACUGCUGAUGUUUUCAGUACUCACUGUUUGCAGCUCCAAAAGGAAGUUCUUGGGGGUGAGAAUCAAGUUGAUCGCCGAGCCGGUAACAAAACAAGAACUAAUUGUUUACCUCAAAUUACAGGCUAUACUUGCAGUGCCAUUUAAAAUCACCAAAGGAAUCUCUAUUUCUUAAAUUUCAUGGUUAGUUUAGUGUUCAAUCUCUGG
This 263-nucleotide unclassified non-coding RNA is filed under the name Hevea brasiliensis (rubber tree). The record is from RNAcentral. Lineage: Eukaryota; Viridiplantae; Streptophyta; Magnoliopsida; Malpighiales; Euphorbiaceae.